Molecule: long non-coding RNA, 375 nt
Organism: Oncorhynchus keta (chum salmon)
Lineage: Eukaryota; Metazoa; Chordata; Actinopteri; Salmoniformes; Salmonidae
Exons: 3
Source: RefSeq, a predicted model, not a curated record
UAACCUGCCUCUAUUGUUUAGGAAAGGGCUUCCAAAGUACAAAACAUUAAAGCUUGUUCUGGUAACCUGCCUCUAUUGUUUAGGAAAGGGCUUCCAAAGUACAAAACAUUAAAGCUUGUUCUGGUAACCUGCCUCUAUUGUUUAGGAAAGGGCUUCCAAAGUACAAAACAUUAAAGCUUGUUCUGGUAACCUGCCUCUAUUGUUUAGGAAAGGGCUUCCAAAGUACAAAACAUUAAAGCUUGUUCUGGUAACCUGCCUCUAUUGUUUAGGAAAGGGCUUCCAAAGUACAAAACAUUAAAGCUUGUUCUGGUAACCUGCCUCUAUUGUUUAGGAAAGGGCUUCCAAAGUACAAAACAUUAAAGCUUGUUCUGGUAA